ACUGGUGGCGACCGGCGCACGGGUGAGUGACGCGUAUGCAACCUUUUUAUCAAAGGGGAAUAACCCGGCGAAAGUCGGACUAAUCUCCGCAUAAAACAGGGACACCGCAUGGUGAUAUUUGUUAAAGAAAUUCGCUGAUAGAUGGGCAUGCGUUCCAUUAGGUAGUUGGUGAGGUAACGGCUCACCAAGCCGACAAUGGAUAGGGGAACUGAGAGGUUGGUCCCCCACACUGGUACUGAGACACGGACCAAACUCCUACGGGAGGCAGCAGUGAGGAAUAUUGGUCAAUGGGCGAGAGCCUGAACCAGCCAAGUCGCGUGAAGGAAGAAGGAUCUAUGGUUCGUAAACUUCUUUUGCAGGGGAAUAAAGUGCAGGACGUGUCCUGUUUUGUAUGUACCCUGAGAAUAAGGAUCGGCUAACUCCGUGCCAGCAGCCGCGGUAAUACGGAGGAUCCGAGCGUUAUCCGGAUUUAUUGGGUUUAAAGGGUGCGUAGGUGGUUUGAUAAGUCAGCGGUGAAAGUUUGCAGCUUAACUGUAAAAAUGCCGUUGAAACUGUCGGACUUGAGUGUAAAUGAGGUAGGCGGAAUGCGUGGUGUAGCGGUGAAAUGCUUAGAUAUCACGAAGAACUCCGAUUG
This 634-nucleotide ribosomal RNA is filed under the name uncultured Porphyromonadaceae bacterium. Its description in RNAcentral is "bacterial SSU rRNA". It matches the Rfam family "Bacterial small subunit ribosomal RNA", at positions 84 to 715 of the family's 1533-position model. Lineage: Bacteria; Pseudomonadati; Bacteroidota; Bacteroidia; Bacteroidales; Porphyromonadaceae. The record is from RNAcentral.